ACUCGAUUAGCUCAGUUGGCUAGAGCACCACCUUGACAUGGUGGGGGUCAGUGGUUCAAGUCCACUAUCGGGUACCA
Molecule: transfer RNA, 77 nt
Filed under: Planctomycetota bacterium
Lineage: Bacteria; Pseudomonadati; Planctomycetota
Description: Planctomycetes bacterium (soil metagenome) tRNA-Val
Rfam family: tRNA
About the family: Transfer RNA (tRNA) molecules are approximately 80 nucleotides in length. Their secondary structure includes four short double-helical elements and three loops (D, anti-codon, and T loops).
Source: RNAcentral